UGCCAGCCGCCGCGGUAAUACGAAGGGUGCAAGCGUUACUCGGAAUUACUGGGCGUAAAGCGUGCGUAGGUGGUCGUUUAAGUCCGUUGUGAAAGCCCUGGGCUCAACCUGGGAACUGCAGUGGAUACUGGGCGACUAGAGUGUGGUAGAGGGUAGCGGAAUUCCUGGUGUAGCAGUGAAAUGCGUAGAGAUCAGGAGGAACAUCCAUGGCGAAGGCAGCUACCUGGACCAACACUGACACUGAGGCACGAAAGCGUGGGGAGCAAACAGGAUUAGAUA
Molecule: ribosomal RNA, 279 nt
Filed under: uncultured bacterium
Lineage: Bacteria
Description: partial 16S ribosomal RNA
Rfam family: Bacterial small subunit ribosomal RNA
Source: RNAcentral